GCUGGGAUGGAGAGGGCGUCGCGCUGAAAUUGCGCAUGCGCAUCCCUGGAACCCGAAGUUGGUUUGUUCCGAGCAGCGUAUUUCAAUAUCGCGCGCGGAAACCAGCUGGCUGAUGCAGUGCUUGCCAGAGUUUGCCAAAUUAAGAAAACGGUUCCUCAAUUUUAAAAGAAGGAGAGUUGACAGUACCUUCUUCAUAAUAUUGCUGUGAGGAUUAAAUGAAAAUAAGUAAAGUGCAUAGAAUAGUGUCUGGCCCGAGAUCUUCUCUGGAGAAGCAUACUGCUAUCACGUUUAAGUAAUGUGUGGUCUUCAUCAUGCCCAAAACACUAUACGGAGCAUUUAAACGCGUGAUACCUAUGCAAUUUACUGUAUUUGCAAAGUGAAAGCAUGCCCUUUACACAGCUAUGAUUGAAAUGUGCCAGAUACUUGAAGGAAUUUAAAAGGAUUAAGAGAUCGUCCCUACCUUCAAGGAGUUUCCAGUCUUAUACAGACCUUUAGGAUCUAAAGCUUCAUUCUCUUCCAUGACCACAGGCUUCCUUCAGGAAGAGUACAUGUCAGUCCAGUUAGUACCCCCAAAAGAAAGAGAAGACUUCUUGUUUGGGGAUAUUUCAAGGCGGAAUUGAAUCUCUUUUAGUGAGCCUCCAAAAUGAAAAAUUAAUGGAUAAAUGGAAUAGUAAGGUUUAUUUAUUUUUGUUGAAUUGUGCUCAAUAUCUUGCCUGACACCACCUGUGAUAAAUCUGCUUUUUUUACUCUCUCUGGAAAACAUGUGAAUCACAGCUGAUGGAGAAACAAUCAUUAUCAUCAAUUCUUGUUGUCUUGGCUACCACUGGGUGGAUGGCGCUGAUUCUAACAGACGCUAGCCUGCCAAAUGCUCGGGAUGCUCCAUCAAUCACUGGGUCAAGAUCCACCUCUAGUCACACUAGAGGGAAGGACUUCUGGAGAUUGCACAGCCGGGAUAUCAGCUCAUUCCUCAAAUAACCCUAGUAAUUUUGUGGAAAUAAAAAUUUAACUACUGUAUCACACUGUGAUUUGGAAGAACUGAACUGUUAUUGUCCUAUCACAAUUUUCCUAUACAGAAGAUAGACUUUUCAGAUCUGAUGUAGUUUCUUGGUUUUGAAAGUUAAGAUCUCCUGGGAAAUGCGAAUUUCUGUUUAGAGAAUUUCCUCCCCCUCUAUCAGUCAUGUCAGAGUUGUUUUUAUUAUAACAUUUGUUUUACAAUGUAAGAUUUUCCUUUCCAUCUUGACAUAAUUGCUAGUGGUUAUCAAAACUAGGCAAUGUUGAACACGAGAACCUGAACAGAAAAGAAGUAAUGCAAAUUACUUGGUCAGAAAACCUCUCAAAGGACUUAAAUAGAUUUGGAAUGAAAGAUGCAAGACUACAUUAAAUUUAAAUAACUUGCCAUAUAAAUGUUGAAAAACAAUUACCAAAUCUUUAAAAUUGCAAGGACCAGGAUUAAAGGUUUAAAAGAAAUUCAUUUUCUCUCUUACAGAAACUUAAUCCUCCUUUUAAUGUGCUUUCUUCUCGCAACUCUGCGAUUUAUCUGUGUGUAUUUGCAUUUAUCGUAUUUUUUUCCGGUUUUUCUUCCUUAUUAUAUCGUAAUCUCCUUUGUGGGCAGGGGCCACUGCAAAUCUUUAAUUGUGCCAGAUGUCUCUGACUACUGA
This 1658-nucleotide long non-coding RNA is filed under the name Equus caballus (horse). Its description in RNAcentral is "lncRNA (ENSECAG00000049361.1)". The record is from RNAcentral. Lineage: Eukaryota; Metazoa; Chordata; Mammalia; Perissodactyla; Equidae.